GGUUAAGCGACUAAGCGUACACGGUGGAUGCCCUGGCAGUCAGAGGCGAUGAAGGACGUGCUAAUCUGCGAAAAGCGUCGGUAAGGUGAUAUGAACCGUUACAGCCGGCGAUGUCCGAAUGGGGAAACCCAGUGCAAUUCGUUGCACUAUCGUUAACUGAAUACAUAGGUUAACGAGGCGAACCGGGGGAACUGAAACAUCUAAGUACCCCGAGGAAAAGAAAUCAACCGAGAUUCCCCCAGUAGCGGCGAGCGAACGGGGAGCAGCCCAGAGUCUGAAUCAGCUUGUGUGUUAGUGGAACGGUCUGGAAAGUCCGACGGUACAGGGUGAUAGUCCCGUACACCAAAAUGCACAGGUUGUGAACUCGAAGAGUAGGGCGGGACACGUGGUAUCCUGUCUGAAUAUGGGGGGACCAUCCUCCAAGGCUAAAUACUCCUGACUGACCGAUAGUGAACCAGUACCGU
This 464-nucleotide ribosomal RNA is filed under the name Klebsiella pneumoniae. RNAcentral's name for it is "partial 23S ribosomal RNA". It matches the Rfam family "Bacterial large subunit ribosomal RNA", at positions 1 to 504 of the family's 2925-position model. The record is from RNAcentral. Lineage: Bacteria; Pseudomonadati; Pseudomonadota; Gammaproteobacteria; Enterobacterales; Enterobacteriaceae.